RNAcentral lists this unclassified non-coding RNA (2142 nucleotides) under Hevea brasiliensis (rubber tree). Lineage: Eukaryota; Viridiplantae; Streptophyta; Magnoliopsida; Malpighiales; Euphorbiaceae. The record is from RNAcentral.
GGCUGAGCUCUCAAAGAAUGCGGAUGCUCAAACAAAGCGUGUGGAAAAGAUUGAGGAUCUUCACCCUGAUACAGUUGUACAGGGUUAUGUUAAGAAUGUGACAUCAAAAGGGUGUUUCAUUAUGCUUUCAAGGAAGAUUGAUGCCAAAAUUCUCAUCUCAAACUUAUCGGAUGAGUAUAUUGACAAUCCUGAAAAAGAAUUCCCUAUAGGGAAUUCUUUUUACUUGUAAUUGGCAGGGUAUUAUCUGUGGAGCCUUUGUCCAGCCGAGUUGAAGUUACCUUGAAGAAAUUGAGUGCAAGCAGUGCCGCAGAAUCUGAAACUAAUAAUUUGAGUUCUCUACAUGUUGGAGACAUAAUUUCUGGCCGGAUUAAACGGGUGGAAUCAUAUGGUCUGUUUAUCACAAUUGACCACACAAACUUGGUUGGAUUAUGUCAUGUGUCAGAGCUUCCAGAUGGUUGUGUUGACAAUAUUGAAACUAAAUAUGGAGUGGGGGAGAUGGUUACUGCAAGGAUUUUGAAGGUGGAUGAGGAAAGACGUCGAAUCUCUCUUGGCAUUAAAAAUUUGGAUCUUGGAAAUGAUAUUAACAUUCUGCAUUCAAAAGCAGAAUCUGAUGAUACCAUUAGUGAAAAUGGUACUAUUGAUGACAGUGGUUCUAAACCACAUGCGAGCAGUUCAGUUGGGAUCCAAGAUAUGGAUAUUGAAUCUGAAAAUGAAGAAUGUCCAGUUCUUGCACAAGCAGAAUCAAGGGCUUACAUUCCUCCACUUGAUGUCACCCUUGAUGACAUGGAGCACUCUGAUGUGGAUGAUGUGAUUGACAAAAAUAAAGAACAUACUGGUGAGGCAAAGAUCGUAGGUGAGAAGAAGAGAAGGGAAAAGAAGGCAAAGGAAGAGAGGGAGCAAGAAAUUAGAGCUGCUGAAGAAAGACUGCUGGAAAAGGAUAUACCAAGAACUGCUGAUGAAUUUGAGAAACUGGUUCGAAGUUCUCCUAAUAGCAGUUUUGUUUGGAUAAAAUACAUGGCUUUCAUGCUUAAUUCGGCUGAUGUUGAGAAAGCUCGCUUGAUUGCCGAAAGGGCUCUGAGAACAAUAAAUAUUCGUGAAGAAAAUGAGAAGCUAAACAUCUGGGUUGCCUACUUCAAUUUGGAAAAUGAAUAUGGAAAUCCUCCAGAGGAAGCUGUUAAAAAAGUAUUUCAAAGAGCUCUGCAGUAUUGUGACCCUAAGAAAGUACAUCUAGCACUUUUGGGAGUAUAUGAAAGGACUGAGCAGCAUAGUUUGGCUGAUGAGCUUCUUGAAAGAAUGGUCAAGAAGUUCAAGCACUCAUGCAAGAUUUGGCUGAGACGGGUACAGAGACUUUUGAAGCAAGAGCAAGAUGGGGUUCAGUCUGUUAUUCAGCGUGCCCUGUUAUGCCUUCCCCGUCAUAGGCAUAUCAAAUUCAUCUCACAAUCAGCUAUCCUUGAGUUCAAAUGCGGGGUUCCUGAUAGAGGGCGAUCCAUGUUUGAAGGAAUUUUGCGGGAGUACCCAAAGAGAACAGAUUUGUGGAGUGUUUAUCUUGAUCAGGAGAUUAGACUCGGAGAUGUGGAUGUAACUCGCUCUCUAUUUGAGAGGGCCAUUAGUCUGAGCCUCCCACCUAAAAAGAUGAAGUUCUUAUUCAAGAAAUAUCUCGAGUAUGAGAAGUCUCUUGGUGAUGAGGAACAAAUCGACUCUGUGAAACAAAAGGCAAUGGAAUAUGUUGAGAAUACUCUGGCUUGAUAUUGGUCCUAAGUUUCCAGUUUCAACUUGCAACAAAAUGGGAAUCAGUUAAUUGGCCUUGUACAGUCCAAAGAUAUCAGUGAAUUUAUUCCAUGUUCUUUCACAAGCAAAAUGAAAGAAAGGCUGCGUAAAUUAUGUCAAGCUAAUUGAGCAUAACAUUGAGGUGUGGCUAACUUAGAGGCCAUUGCAUUGAUAUGAAGUUUCAGAAAUUGCCCGAGUGCUAAUUAGCAGUAUGGAUAAUGUUAGAAGAAAUGGAUGCAAAUGGACAUUAAUGUCAAGAACUCAAGAUAUGUUGUGAACUGAGCCCUAAUUUUGAUCCCAAGGGCUUUUCUUGUACUAUUUAGAAAAUUAAUGAUGUAAAAAUGAAGGCUCAGUUCACAACAUAUCUUGAGUUCU